This 497-nucleotide ribosomal RNA is filed under the name uncultured bacterium. RNAcentral's name for it is "partial 16S ribosomal RNA". It matches the Rfam family "Bacterial small subunit ribosomal RNA", at positions 28 to 507 of the family's 1533-position model. The record is from RNAcentral.
GACGAACGCUGGCGGCGUGCCUAAUACAUGCAAGUAGAACGCUGAAGAGAGGAGCUUGCUCUUCUUGGAUGAGUUGCGAACGGGUGAGUAACGCGUAGGUAACCUGCCUUGUAGCGGGGGAUAACUAUUGGAAACGAUAGCUAAUACCGCAUAACAAUGGAUGACACAUGUCAUUUAUUUGAAAGGGGCAAUUGCUCCACUACAAGAUGGACCUGCGUUGUAUUAGCUAGUAGGUGAGGUAAUGGCUCACCUAGGCGACGAUACAUAGCCGACCUGAGAGGGUGAUCGGCCACACUGGGACUGAGACACGGUCCAGACUCCUACGGGAGGUAACAGUAGGGAAUCUUCGGCAAUGGGGGCAACCCUGACCGAGCAACGCCGCGUGAGUGAAGAAGGUUUUCGGAUCGUAAAGCUCUGUUGUAAGUCAAGAACGGGUGUGAGAGUGGAAAGUUCACACUGUGACGGUAGCUUACCAGAAAGAGACGGCUAACUACGUG